GACGAACGCUGGCGGCGUGCUUAACACAUGCAAGUCGAACGGAAAGGCCCUGCUUUUGUGGGGUGCUCGAGUGGCGAACGGGUGAGUAACACGUGAGUAACCUGCCCUUGACUUUGGGAUAACUUCAGGAAACUGGGGCUAAUACCGGAUAGGAGCUCCUGCUGCAUGGUGGGGGUUGGAAAGUUUCGGCGGUUGGGGAUGGACUCGCGGCUUAUCAGCUUGUUGGUGGGGUAGUGGCUUACCAAGGCUUUGACGGGUAGCCGGCCUGAGAGGGUGACCGGCCACAUGGGGACUGAGAUACGGACCAGACUCCUACGGGAGGCAGCAGUGGGGAAUAUUGCACAAUGGGCUGAAGCCUGAUGCAGCAUCGCCGCGUGCGGGAUGACGGGCUUAGGGUUGUAAACAGCUGUCGCCUGUGACGAAGCGUGAGUGACGGUAAUGGGUAAAGAAGCACCGGCUAACUACGUG
Molecule: ribosomal RNA, 468 nt
Filed under: uncultured bacterium
Lineage: Bacteria
Description: partial 16S ribosomal RNA
Rfam family: Bacterial small subunit ribosomal RNA
Source: RNAcentral